Molecule: ribosomal RNA, 554 nt
Filed under: Colletotrichum gloeosporioides
Lineage: Eukaryota; Fungi; Ascomycota; Sordariomycetes; Glomerellales; Glomerellaceae
Description: eukaryotic LSU rRNA
Rfam family: 5.8S ribosomal RNA (bases 190-343)
Source: RNAcentral
CUGCGGAGGGAUCAUUACUGAGUUUACGCUCUAUAACCCUUUGUGAACAUACCUAUAACUGUUGCUUCGGCGGGUAGGGUCUCCGUGACCCUCCCGGCCUCCCGCCCCCGGGCGGGUCGGCGCCCGCCGGAGGAUAACCAAACUCUGAUUUAACGACGUUUCUUCUGAGUGGUACAAGCAAAUAAUCAAAACUUUUAACAACGGAUCUCUUGGUUCUGGCAUCGAUGAAGAACGCAGCGAAAUGCGAUAAGUAAUGUGAAUUGCAGAAUUCAGUGAAUCAUCGAAUCUUUGAACGCACAUUGCGCCCGCCAGCAUUCUGGCGGGCAUGCCUGUUCGAGCGUCAUUUCAACCCUCAAGCUCUGCUUGGUGUUGGGGCCCUACAGCUGAUGUAGGCCCUCAAAGGUAGUGGCGGACCCUCCCGGAGCCUCCUUUGCGUAGUAACUUUACGUCUCGCACUGGGAUCCGGAGGGACUCUUGCCGUAAAACCCCCCAAUUUUCCAAAGGUUGACCUCGGAUCAGGUAGGAAUACCCGCUGAACUUAAGCAUAUCAAAAG